Molecule: long non-coding RNA, 746 nt
Organism: Cyprinus carpio (common carp)
Lineage: Eukaryota; Metazoa; Chordata; Actinopteri; Cypriniformes; Cyprinidae
Exons: 8
Source: RefSeq, a predicted model, not a curated record
UUCUAGUGAGGGAUACGUCCGUCACCGAGACAGACACUGAUUCUGAGGUGUGGAGCAGCACAGUGUCUCUCUCUCAUACUCAGACGGUUUGGGCUCAGACUGAAAGCAGCAGCUCUGUGCUAACACUGACAUACGCUGAGAGAGAUGGAGCGACGACAGAUACAUCGGUCACAGAGACAGACACCGAUUCUUUGACAGAUACUCAGUCCCAGAGGGACAGUCACUGAUUCUGUGACGACGGAUACAUCAGUCCCAGAGACAGACAUCGAUUCUGUGACGACAGCUUUAUCAAUUCCAGACACAGACACCGAUUCUUAUACGUUGUCAGUCACUGAGACACACACUGAUUCUGCUCAGCUGUUCUCGGAUGAGAUUCCCUGGAUCCGCAUCGGUCUCAUCAGCGGCGUUCUGCUCCUUACCGCUGUCUUUCUGGCUUUAUUGCUGGUGUUUGGAAGAAUCUGAGUCGUCGAGAGAAAACCAUUGUUGCAGACAUUUCCAGGAAACAGCUGAUUGUGUGAACUGUGAAAUCUACAAGUAGUUCAACAAAAUAUGAUGUAUUUUUAUCUGCUGUUUAUUUACAGAACUUAAAACUGUUUGAUGCUUUAUCUUGAUAGCUUAAAACAUAUUUGUGUCCCUGGAGCACAAAAGCAGUCUUAAGUCUCUGGGGUAUAUUUGUAGCAAUAGACAACAAAACAUUGUAUGAGUCACAAUUAUUGAUUUUUCUUUUAUGCCAAAAAUCAUUAGGA